RNAcentral lists this ribosomal RNA (467 nucleotides) under uncultured Dechloromonas sp. RNAcentral describes it as "bacterial SSU rRNA". It matches the Rfam family "Bacterial small subunit ribosomal RNA", at positions 335 to 795 of the family's 1533-position model. Lineage: Bacteria; Pseudomonadati; Pseudomonadota; Betaproteobacteria; Rhodocyclales; Azonexaceae. The record is from RNAcentral.
GUCCUACGGGAGGCAGCAGUGGGGAAUUUUGGACAAUGGGGGCAACCCUGAUCCAGCCAUGCCGCGUGAGUGAAGAAGGCCUUCGGGUUGUAAAGCUCUUUCGGCCGGGAAGAAAUCGCAUCAGCUAAUACCUGGUGCGGAUGACGGUACCGUAAUAAGAAGCACCGGCUAACUACGUGCCAGCAGCCGCGGUAAUACGUAGGGUGCGAGCGUUAAUCGGAAUUACUGGGCGUAAAGCGUGCGCAGGCGGGUUUGUAAGACAGGCGUGAAAUCCCCGGGCUCAACCUGGGAACUGCGCUUGUGACUGCAAGGCUAGAGUAUGGCAGAGGGGGGUGGAAUUCCACGUGUAGCAGUGAAAUGCGUAGAGAUGUGGAGGAACACCGAUGGCGAAGGCAGCCCCCUGGGCCAAUACUGACGCUCAUGCACGAAAGCGUGGGUAGCAAACAGGAUUAGAUACCCUGGUAGUC